Molecule: ribosomal RNA, 397 nt
Filed under: uncultured bacterium
Lineage: Bacteria
Description: partial 16S ribosomal RNA
Rfam family: Bacterial small subunit ribosomal RNA
Source: RNAcentral
AUACGUAGGGGGCGAGCGUUGUCCGGAAUGAUUGGGCGUAAAGGGCGCGUAGGCGGCCCGGUAAGUCUGGAGUGAAAGUCCUGUUUUUAAGAUGGGAAUUGCUUUGGAUACUGUCGGGCUUGAGUGCAGGAGAGGUAAGUGGAAUUCCCAGUGUAGCGGUGAAAUGCGUAGAGAUUGGGAGGAACACCAGUGGCGAAGGCGACUUACUGGACUGUAACUGACGCUGAGGCGCGAAAGUGUGGGGAGCAAACAGGAUUAGAUACCCUGGUAGUCCACACCGUAAACGAUGAAUGCUAGGUGUAGGGGGUAUCGACCCCUUCUGUGCCGCAGUCAACACAAAAAGCAUUCCGCCUGGGGAGUACGGCCGCAAGGUUGAAACUUAAAUGAAUUGACGGGG